GACGAACGCUGGCGGCGUGCUUAACACAUGCAAGUCGAACGGAAAGGCCCUUCGGGGUACUCGAGUGGCGAACGGGUGAGUAACACGUGGGUGAUCUGCCCUGCACUUUGGGAUAAGCCUGGGAAACUGGGUCUAAUACCGAAUAGGACCACGCGCUUCAUGGUGUGUGGUGGAAAGCUUUUGCGGUGUGGGAUGGGCCCGCGGCCUAUGAGCUUGUUGGUGGGGUAAUGGCCUACCAAGGCGACGACGGGUAGCCGGCCUGAGAGGGUGACCGGCCACACUGGGACUGAGAUACGGCCCAGACUCCUACGGGAGGCAGCAGUGGGGAAUAUUGCACAAUGGGCGCAAGCCUGAUGCAGCGACGCCGCGUGAGGGAUGACGGCCUUCGGGUUGUAAACCUCUUUCACCAGGGACGAAGCGUAAGUGACGGUACCUGGAGAAGAAGCACCGGCCAACUACGUG
This 462-nucleotide ribosomal RNA is filed under the name uncultured bacterium. Its description in RNAcentral is "partial 16S ribosomal RNA". It matches the Rfam family "Bacterial small subunit ribosomal RNA", at positions 28 to 507 of the family's 1533-position model. The record is from RNAcentral.